GUUUGGAAUUUCAGCUGGGCAGCUUCGAUCCCACCACCUGUAGCCACUGAGGUUCACAGGCUCUGUUUGAGGUGUUGUGUUAGAUUGUGCUGGGUUGGUUUUGCUGCUUAUUGAGUGAUGAAGAGCAACAUAUUAGCUACUGAGAUAUUUUGCAGAAAAAGGAAGAGAUGUCUUCAGCUCAAAUGCUAUCAAACUUGUGAAAUAAACAGCGUUGUUGCUCACACAAAGCCUGUUUGGUAGUCUCUUCACAUGGACGCGUGUGACAUUUGGUGCUGAAGACCCGGGACAGGAGGACUCCUUCAGGAGACGGGUCCCCUGUCCUUGCCCUCACUCCGUGAGGAGAUCCACCUACGACCUCGGGUCCUCAGACCAACCAGCCCAAGGAACAUCUCAUGAAUUUCAAAUCGGGACCCCACUGGAAAUCGGACUGUCCAACCCGGCAGCCACUCCCAGGGCCCCUAGAACUCUGGCCAAAGGCUCUCUGACUGACUCCUUCCCAGAUCUUCUCAGCUUAGCAGCUGAAGACUGAUGCUGCCUGAUCGCCUUGGAAGCCCCCUGGACCAUUACGGAUGCUGAGCUUUGGAUAACUCUUACAGUAGAGGAUUCCCAACUAUAUGAAGACACCCUAGCUGGACGAUCAGUUCUUAUUAAGAACCUGACCCCUCAAACUCUACAACCUCGAUGGACUGGACCCUACUUAGUCAUCUAUAGUACCCCAACUGCCGUCCGCCUGCAGGAUCCUCCCCACUGGGUUCACCGUUCCAGAAUAAAGCUGUGCCCAUCGG
RNAcentral lists this long non-coding RNA (785 nucleotides) under Homo sapiens (human). RNAcentral's name for it is "non-protein coding lnc-TRIP11-5:6". The record is from RNAcentral. Lineage: Eukaryota; Metazoa; Chordata; Mammalia; Primates; Hominidae.